Anas platyrhynchos (mallard) is the source of this 2988-nucleotide long non-coding RNA. RefSeq lists it as uncharacterized. Lineage: Eukaryota; Metazoa; Chordata; Aves; Anseriformes; Anatidae. The record is from RefSeq and is a predicted model, not a curated record.
CCGGACUGCUCGGGGUUAGGCUGGGCAUCGGUCAGCGAGUGCUGAAUUCUUUUGUAGUCCCAGUUCACCUAGACUUUUGGGAAAAGGUGCUGGACCUAUGACAAUGGAAGAAUGGAAGAAUGGACAACGGAAGAAUGACAGAAGAUAAAAAGGACAAUGUUUAGGGAGAAAAUGAUGUUCUGCAUGCUAAAGUCUGAAGAACUACACAGAUUCAUGGAGAAGCAUCAAAGCAUCAGAGAAACAUCAUUUUCACAUAUGCAUGAGUCUAUGAUAUAAUCACUCAAUGUUUGGAAGCCUUAGUCUGCUUACCUCUUUAUUUUUGAAACACAAAUCUUACCCUGGAUUAGUGGAUGAUAUUUUUGUUGUGGCUAACUGAAAAUCAUUAUGGACAAUUAAAAUUUUAUUUGAAGAUCUUGAGGCCUGAGUCUGCAUUUCCUGGUCCCCUUUUGUUAUCCUGAAUGACCAGAAGAAUAUUCCAUGCCAUAUAUGUGUGAGGAAACACAAGUUUUCACACUCAGAAAGGGGAGCUGAGGUAAAGAAGGAGGAAGGGGAGGACAUUCAGAAUGAUGGCAUUUGUCUUUGCAAGAAACCACUAGGCAUGAUGAGCCCUGCAUUUCUGAAAGUGACUGAACACCUGCCUGCAAGCUAUUUUUUAGGCCCUUUGUGGAUUUAAGGACUAAAUUGCUACUAUUGAAAAGCACAACAGAAAAUCUCUGAGAUGGGAUUCAUAAUUAAGUCUGAACAAAGUGUUUAACAUCAGUGCAAGAAAGAAUAUCUAUCACAAAUAGCUGAAGUCAUGCAAUGGCAGAAGGAAGGACCAGCUCGUCUCUUUGGAUCUUUUCCUAAUCUUACAUUUUUAUUAUCUUGUGCAAUAUUGUGGUGAGUUAGGGACCUUAGCUUUAUGAAGAUGUAACUGACUUUAUUUUUUUUUUGCUCAUUACCAACUUGUAUUGACUUAUUUUUGGACUCUAUUUUUUUACCUUUCUGUUUCUCAAGAUUCUCCAAAGAAAGCACAUUUUCACCGAUUAUAUUGCCCAUCUCUUCAAGAGAUCUAUUUCACUUCUAAAGAAACAUCAUUUCCUUUAAACGUCUGUCCCUAAUUUGGUAGAACACUUUCCAGCUGUUAUUUUGUUUAUUUUACAGCUCAGUGAUUUAACUUAAUUUGACUUGCUAUUCAGGUUGUUCCAAUGAACAAACUACUACUUUAAAUGUGAAAUCUAUCUCCUAUUUACCUUUUUUUUUCUUUUUUCUCAUGACACGUUCCAGAAUUCUGUAUGCAACUAAAAAAUAAAAAUAUAUAAAAAAAAAUCCACUGCUUGUUGCGUACUAUAAAAGUGUCAUAUUUUGCUUCAUUUUUGUAUAAAAAUGAAAUUUACUGUUUUAAUUUGGCAAAAUGCAGCAUAUGUUGAGUAUGAUUAAGGAGAUACAUGGUAAGGUAAAAACUCAUAAGUGAGAUAAUACUUAAUAGUCAGAAAAAUAUAAAGUGUGGUAUAACUGCUGUCCUAUCAAUUUAAUUAACAGAUUAAAUCUUUAAAUGAUGCAGAUUCACCCAAAUUAUAUUUGAUGAAUGUCAACAUUAGAAAGCUACCUUUCUUAUUGCUGUAUAUUGGAACACCUUCCUGACAUGAACACUAACAAUUGGUAAUGGGUAUUAAAUCUUCUCCCACUUAAGGAAUUUUAGAGAAACCUUAAGUAGUGCAGGAUUAAAUGAACUACACAUUUCCUUUUAUUUCUUCACUCAUGCUACUUCUAUUCUGUGGUUAACUUUUAGCUAAUUAUUUCCAAUUCCAAUACUAUCACAAGUGUCCUGUUCAAGAACGCAGGAUUUAUUUCAGGACAAGAAGUGUGAAUAUUCCUUGAAAUAUCCAUUAAUGUGUGGUUAUUAGAAAUUCAUUUAUAGAAAUUUCCUGGAGUUACUAUUUCUCAUGAGCAAACAAAACACAAUUUUAAGUAUGGGUAUAUUUGUCACUUAAAACAAAACAAAACAAAAAAACUUUUUUUGCUUUCCUUCAAAGUCUGAGUAUUAUUCUAGAAAGUAUGCUCAUAGGCACUGAAAUAUUUAUGAAAAUGUCUAUGAAAAGGAAUUCUUUGCUAUGUGCAGCAUAAAGACUAUAAAGGUAAAAUAUAGUAACAUAUUAAUUAGUUCUAGGAGUUUAUUUUGAAGUUUUCUUGUAUUUCUGAUUCCAUAGUCACACUUUCAAACACAUUAUUUCUGUUUCUAUUCACAUUGGAUUAUAAAAAUAUAGCAAGUUCUUAAAUGGAUUUUUCAACAAAAAGCCCACAGGCUAGAUAACUCUAAUUUUCUGAUAAUAUACACUUGACAUUGUAAUUAGAGAAAUGUGUCCUUUCUGUGAAGUACCGCUGCAAUAUCUGAGUUUCUUUUCCUCCUGGAAUCAACCUGCAUUUUAAGAUAAAAUGAAAGUAUGAAAGCUCCACAAUAACUUUGUAUUGCUUAUUGUUCCAUUGGAUAUUGACUGGAAGAGAUGCACUACCUGGAAGAUAGCCACAUUUUUGAUAGUCACAAAGUUGCAUUUAUUGGAUCUUCAAAAUACUGGGUUCAAACUUUAAAUGUUUUUGUAUAUACCUGCUGUACCAGUCUUUAUUCUUUCCUGAAGCCCCAAAAUGCUGAGGAAUAUAACCAAAGAACUGCAUUUUCCUCCAUUAUCAGGGAAAUGUGUUAUUUAUAUGAAAAGGUAAUAUUCAACUGAAUGUACAGUUAAUGCAGUAGCUAAACUUUGUAAUCCUCUUUGUUAAUCCUCUAUUUUGAAUUCCCUUCCUGACAAAUAACUCAUGUUCUGUGCUUAAUUUUUAUGAAUCUAUUAAAUACAUUUUUUGUUAGCUGAAUAUCUUAUACGUACAUGUCACAAAAAUAUUAAAACAGAGCAAAAUCCAAAAUGACUCAUGUCUAAAAAAUGUUUCACCAUAAUUGAAGCAAUUCACAAAUUACUUUACGAAUAAUUCCAAAUAAAAUUAUUGUGAAUUUUCAUA